ACAAAAUUCGGAUGAACACGUUUGACUAGAAUUAAAACUUUACAAACCAAAUCUCACUUGUAUUACAACAAGACUUUCUAAAGACUUAUUUUCUCUCUCAUCCGCUCACAUUUGUCUUUGUUUUUUCUUAAGGGAAUUUGCCUUUGGUUUUCAGAUCAUCAACAAAUCAAACUUCCAAUCAAUGUCUGUACCAUGCUCAAUUCCCUUCAUCUUGUUCCUCUGAAUUUCUGCAAAGAAUCAAGUGGAGGUUGAUCAAAUCAAUGGUUGUUACAGUUGAAGCUCGAAAGUUCAGCCUCCCUUACCUUUCUCUCUCCUCGCCUCAGGUCACUUCUUUCCACUACGACCCCAAUUCUCUCUCCUUAGCUUUGAUGCAUUCCGAUUCCACUUUCUCUCUCUUCCCGUCCUUUUCCCCCUUUUCAAUUUGCAAUUCGUUACCCCCUCCUCAAACCCUAAUUCCCCCUCCCUCUUCAUCUGCUUGCUUCGUGCCUCUUAAUGCUAACCCUAACCCUAAAGUUCAAGAUGGGGUUUCCCCAGAUGACAAAAAAAGGGUUGUUUUUGUUACUGCUGGGCCCCACAAUGGUGGGUCUAAGGUUGUUUUGAGAUUUCAUUUGUUGGGUAUUGAUGGGAAGUUUGUGAGUGCAACCCAGGUGGAUUGUAGUCAGAAUGGACUUUGUUUUGAUAGGAAACUGGGGGUGAUUGUGGAUGUUAGUCAUGGGAUGAAGGUUGUGCUUUCUGGGUCUGUUAAUUACUUGGCUUUGUACUCAGCUUCAGGGGGGAAAGUGUGGGUUUUUGGGGUGAAAUUGGUGGGGAAUGGGAGGGGUUUGAGGUUGGUGAAGUGUGCUGUGAUCGAUUGCAGGUUGCGCAUUUCGUCAAUUUAUCUUUCCUUCGGGUUUUUGAUAUUGGGGGAGAUGAGAGGGGUUAGGAUUUUCCCGUUGCGUGCCAUGGUGAAAGGGAAGGUUGGGAGUGGAAGGAGAUUGAGAGUGGCGAAAGGGAAGGGUGAGAAAUCGAAUGUCGAGGGGAGGGAUUCUAAAGUGCCAAACGGGAUCAUUAGGCCUUUUGCUGAAAGCAAUGAACUAAAUAAGAACACUGGGAAUUCAAAUGUUUCCAAAUUGUUGCCUAAUGGUCAUGCUUGUAGUGUUCUUGAUGGUGUAUCCUCAAGUUCAAAUGCGGAUGGAGCUGUGAAGUCGAGGUCUUUGAAAUUCCGACAAGACUCUGGUGAGUGGGGAAUGCAGUUUGUUCUGUUCAAUGAUUGUGUCCAUGAAGGGAUUAAAUCCGGAGUGAUGCAAUCUAAUAAAAGAAAGGCGACCUCCAUCCAAGCUAUUUCACCGGAGAAAUUUCUAAUUCUGGAUUCGAAUGGAGAUUUGCACAUACUUCAUGUGUCAAAAUCUGGCUCUUCUCGAAUGAGAAGGUUAACUUGCACCAUCCAAGUACAGCAAUUGGUUGCUUUUCCUGAUGCAUCUGCUGAUUCUCAGAUUGUUUGGAUAUCUGAUGGACUAUAUUCUGUUCACGUGAUGAUGAUACCUGGUUCAGACACCAAAGAAAAGGAAAGUGGUGUGAGCAACGAUGAAAGAGAGAUCAUUCAAAGUUCAGUCACCCAAGCCAUAUUUACAAGUGAGAGCAUUCAGCAUGUUGUGCCCUUGGCUGCAAAUCGAAUCUUGAUUCUCGGUCAAGAUAGCCUAUAUGCUUAUGGAAUUUCAUGAAGUUUCUUGCAACGUCUUGCUUGUGUGCUGGAGAAUUUUCUUCCUGGUCAAAUAUCAAAAUCUGAGUAAUGGGGCUCUAUUAUCGCUUCUGUUUAGACUGAAUCCAUCUAUGCAUCGUAUGUUCCAGUGUCCUUUACAAUCCUCUGAUCUGACCUUGACAUAGAGUUACUGAAGUCAUGAGCUACAUUUGUCAUUCCAUUCUGCUGGUGUUGUCUUCAGGACUGGCAGCUCGUCAAGGGGAAAGAUUAUAUGGUGAUGAGUUGGAUGCCUGGAAAUGGAGCAGAUUCUCUUUAGCUCGCCAUGUACUGAGCCCUUCUUCCAGUGUCUCUGCGUACUACACAAGGCUCAGGCAGGGAGAGGAAGGAAAAGAAAGGCUUGCCAACAGCGAGUAUAGUAUCUGUCAGCUUGCCGUUGAAGUAGUAGUUGCUGGCAAUUGCUUCAAGGUACUCGUUGAUUUAGAUGAAACUCCAAAUCCGUCGUUGAAGUGUUGAACCAAUUUAAAUAGUGGAAGUUUGGGGACUCCUUUUAUGUGAAAGAGCUUCAUACAAUCCAUUUUAAUUGUUGUUUAAGAUCUUCAAAUGCUUUAUGUUUUAUACUAUGUAGUAUCAUUUUACAAAAACUUUUAGGUUGAUUAUGAACAAAUGAUUCGGAGGUGUGCAUUACGUGAUUUAAAGAGUUAAAGACAAGUUGGUUUUUAGAAGACAAA
This is an RNA transcript of Spinacia oleracea (spinach), 2406 nucleotides long. RefSeq lists it as uncharacterized. The record is from RefSeq and is a predicted model, not a curated record. Lineage: Eukaryota; Viridiplantae; Streptophyta; Magnoliopsida; Caryophyllales; Amaranthaceae. The transcript has 8 exons.